GUCUACGACCAUGCCACCCUGAACGUGCCCAAUCUCGUCUGAUCUCGGAAGCUAAGCAGGGUGGGGCCUGGUUAGUACUUGGAUGGGAGACCACCUAGGAAGACCAGGUGCUGUAGGCA
Molecule: ribosomal RNA, 119 nt
Filed under: Pteropus alecto (black flying fox)
Lineage: Eukaryota; Metazoa; Chordata; Mammalia; Chiroptera; Pteropodidae
Also listed under: 1 other name
Source: RNAcentral